UCCCUGGUGGCUCAGAUGGUAAAGCGUCUGUCUACAGUGCAGGAGACCCGGGUUCGAUCCCUGGGUUGGGAA
Bos taurus (domestic cattle) is the source of this 72-nucleotide non-coding RNA. The record is from Rfam. NCBI's taxonomy places the organism in Eukaryota, Metazoa, Chordata, Mammalia, Artiodactyla, Bovidae.